This 606-nucleotide ribosomal RNA is filed under the name Klebsiella pneumoniae. Its description in RNAcentral is "bacterial SSU rRNA". It matches the Rfam family "Bacterial small subunit ribosomal RNA", at positions 927 to 1533 of the family's 1533-position model. The record is from RNAcentral. Lineage: Bacteria; Pseudomonadati; Pseudomonadota; Gammaproteobacteria; Enterobacterales; Enterobacteriaceae.
AAGCGGUGGAGCAUGUGGUUUAAUUCGAUGCAACGCGAAGAACCUUACCUGGUCUUGACAUCCACAGAACUUUCCAGAGAUGGAUUGGUGCCUUCGGGAACUGUGAGACAGGUGCUGCAUGGCUGUCGUCAGCUCGUGUUGUGAAAUGUUGGGUUAAGUCCCGCAACGAGCGCAACCCUUAUCCUUUGUUGCCAGCGGUUAGGCCGGGAACUCAAAGGAGACUGCCAGUGAUAAACUGGAGGAAGGUGGGGAUGACGUCAAGUCAUCAUGGCCCUUACGACCAGGGCUACACACGUGCUACAAUGGCAUAUACAAAGAGAAGCGACCUCGCGAGAGCAAGCGGACCUCAUAAAGUAUGUCGUAGUCCGGAUUGGAGUCUGCAACUCGACUCCAUGAAGUCGGAAUCGCUAGUAAUCGUAGAUCAGAAUGCUACGGUGAAUACGUUCCCGGGCCUUGUACACACCGCCCGUCACACCAUGGGAGUGGGUUGCAAAAGAAGUAGGUAGCUUAACCUUCGGGAGGGCGCUUACCACUUUGUGAUUCAUGACUGGGGUGAAGUCGUAACAAGGUAACCGUAGGGGAACCUGCGGUUGGAUCACCUCCUUA